This is an RNA transcript of Carcharodon carcharias (great white shark), 1303 nucleotides long. RefSeq lists it as uncharacterized. NCBI's taxonomy places the organism in Eukaryota, Metazoa, Chordata, Chondrichthyes, Lamniformes, Lamnidae. The transcript has 5 exons. The record is from RefSeq and is a predicted model, not a curated record.
GUGACAGACAGAAAAUGGAGCAUGAUGGAAAGGAAGAGAAUGGACACAAGAUUUCAAUCUAAGACCUGCGAACCAAAUAGGAUGAUUUUCUCAAUGAAUAUAUUGCCUGAUGUAUGAUUCUGAAGUGCAAGGGUUUCCUGACCAACCAAGAGUUUGCUUUGAAUGCCAAAGGUCAAAGCUAUCAAGGAAGAACUAAAGUCAGAGUAAAAGAUCAGAAAGCCCUUGUGUUAAAGCAAAAGCCACAGCUUGCACAAACUGCCAGAUAUUCAACCAUGACAAUCUCACCAUGCAAGCAUAUGAGAUGAUGCUCGAUUGACAUGAUCUUGGAGGACGAGGUAGCAAACAAGGAGGCGGCAGAAGCUAAACGAGAUUAGGACAGGCCUACCUGUACAUCCUGACCUCCAGGGAAGAGGCAGUCAUGGCCUUUAUUGGAAUGGCUGUUGCUGUGAUUGUGGCCAGGGGCGGGGCUGAAAACAUUAAAGGUCUGGUGCACUAGUGUGUGUUGUAAAGGUCACAGCAGAAGAAUAGCAAAUAGACAUCCCUGCAUCUUAGACAUAAAAGUCUCUCUCUUUGUGCUGGAGGCAAGUCACAAGUCAACAAAGCCACAGUCAAAAAGGAAACAGGACAACUUCUUCAGCUAUCCUGGAGAACCAAGCAUCUCCAAGCCAAUUGCUCAACAGCCAAAUUCAGUUCUACUGGAAUCACCCAACAUAAUGGCCACAACAUUUUGCCAUCUACUCCUCACAGACAAGCAGCAUCUGAUGGUCGAUAUCACAACUUCUAUUGCAGAACAAACAGUAGCCACCCAAUGUCUGAGUGCUGCAGUGGAAGCUCAGGCUGCUGCCUUCAUGGCUGUGGAUUACAAUGCUCAAAGAGACUUGCAGUGUGUCACAGCAGGCCAGCAAUCUGUCCUUCAACAGAUUGUUAGGAUUACUGAGGCAUGGCCCAUGGGAGGGCUGUAGCUCCACAGAGCAGGAAUCCGCUUUCAGGGUGACAGCAUUCAUCCUCCUGCCCCUGCUACUCCACCAGUGCCUGUACUGAUCCCGGUCAGCCAACCAGCCCAGACUUGUGUCGCCCACGCCGGGAUCAUGCAAUCCACAGCCAGGCCUUCUAGAACGACAGCUGCCUAAGGUCGUUCUGCAAAGCCACCUGCAGUCUCUCCCACUGAAAGUCAACAACCUUCCACCAUCCAUACUGCAACUACUGGGGUAGCACUGUGUAGGAGCAUUAGACCAGGCAAAGGAACAGAAAAGACAAGUUCUAAGGAACUGCACAAGGGUGAUUAGUUGACUUUUGUCUGUAA